GGCCAGUUAGCUCAGUUGGUUAGAGCGUGGUGCUAAUAACGCCAAGGUCGCAGGUUCAAUCCCCGAACGGACCA
This is a non-coding RNA of Peromyscus maniculatus bairdii (prairie deer mouse), 74 nucleotides long. NCBI's taxonomy places the organism in Eukaryota, Metazoa, Chordata, Mammalia, Rodentia, Cricetidae. The record is from the annotation of a RefSeq genome assembly.